RNAcentral lists this long non-coding RNA (214 nucleotides) under Elaeis guineensis (African oil palm). Its description in RNAcentral is "long non-coding RNA (EGUI_LNC001741)". The record is from RNAcentral. Lineage: Eukaryota; Viridiplantae; Streptophyta; Magnoliopsida; Arecales; Arecaceae.
CCACAAAGAUGAAAUGACCCGAUUUGUCCUAGUCCACUCAGCCGACCAGAACAAGCUGUGACUUAACUCCCAUACUAGAGCAGUGGUAGAUUUUUAUCGGGAGUUUUCUUUUUCUCCAAAGAUUCUAGACAGAAACCACGAUCCUAAGGCCUCCAGAUUCGAACGGAGCCCUAGGGCUCCUCUGUAAGAACAUCUUCCCAUUCCUCUAGGAUCC